Molecule: ribosomal RNA, 253 nt
Filed under: uncultured bacterium
Lineage: Bacteria
Description: partial 16S ribosomal RNA
Rfam family: Bacterial small subunit ribosomal RNA
Source: RNAcentral
UACGUAGGGGGCAAGCGUUGCUCGGAAUCACUGGGCGUAAAGGGCGCGUAGGCGGGGAGGUAAGUCGGGUGUGAAAUCCCUCGGCCCAACCGAGGAACUGCGCCCGAGACUGCUUCUCUUGAGUCCCGGAGAGGAAGAUGGAAUUCCCGGUGUAGCGGUGAAAUGUGUAGAGAUCGGGAGGAACACCGGUGGCGAAGGCGGUCUUCUGGACGGUGACUGACGCUGAGGCGCGAAAGCGUGGGGAGCAAACGGG